This 433-nucleotide ribosomal RNA is filed under the name uncultured bacterium. RNAcentral describes it as "partial 16S ribosomal RNA". It matches the Rfam family "Bacterial small subunit ribosomal RNA", at positions 29 to 507 of the family's 1533-position model. The record is from RNAcentral.
AACGAACGCUGGCGGCAUGCCUAACACAUGCAAGUCGAACGAGACCUUCGGGUCUAGUGGCGCACGGGUGCGUAACGCGUGGGAACCUGCCCUUAGGUUCGGAAUAACUCCCCGAAAGGGGUGCUAAUACCGGAUAAUGUCUUCGGACCAAAGAUUCAUCGCCUUUGGAUGGGCCCGCGUUGGAUUAGCUAGUUGGUAGGGUAAAAGCCUACCAAGGCGACGAUCCAUAGCUGGUCUGAGAGGAUGAUCAGCCACACUGGGACUGCGACACGGCCCAGACUCCUACGCGAGGCAGCAGUGGGGAAUAUUGGACAAUGGGCGAAGGCCUGAUCCAGCAAUGCCGCGUGAGUGAUGAAGGCCUUAGGGUUGUAAAGCUCUUUUACCCGGGAUGAUAAUGACAGUACCGGGAGAAUAAGCUCCGGCUAACUCCGUG